UUGUAAGGCCUGCUCAAUGAAAAUUAAAUAGCCGCAGAAAUUUAACUGUGCUAAGGUAGCAUAAUCAUUAGAUUUUUAAUUAAAAUCUGGAAUGAAAGGAUUAACCUUUAAUAACUUUCCUAAAAAUAUAAUUUUCAAAUUAUAAUAAAAAUAAAAAUAUUUUUAUAAUUUAAAAAGACGACAAGACCCUAUUGAACUUAACUUAAGUUAAGCUGGGGCAGCUUAUUAAAAAAAAUUUUAAUAAAAAUAUUUAAAUAAAUACCUAAUAUUAUUAAAUUAAACAAGUUACCAUAGGGAUAACAGCGUAAUUUUUUAAAAAAGUUCUUAUCUAAUAAAAAGAUUGCGACCUCGAUGUUGAAUUAUAUACCUUUUUAAAGCAAAAUUAAAUAAAGGGGGUC
RNAcentral lists this ribosomal RNA (398 nucleotides) under Chanea suukyii. RNAcentral's name for it is "partial large subunit ribosomal RNA". The record is from RNAcentral. Lineage: Eukaryota; Metazoa; Arthropoda; Arachnida; Araneae; Mysmenidae.